Sphaeramia orbicularis (orbiculate cardinalfish) is the source of this 486-nucleotide long non-coding RNA. RefSeq lists it as uncharacterized. The transcript has 4 exons. NCBI's taxonomy places the organism in Eukaryota, Metazoa, Chordata, Actinopteri, Kurtiformes, Apogonidae. The record is from RefSeq and is a predicted model, not a curated record.
CUGCAGUUGCACCAUGCGCUGCUGCAUAGGAAGCAUGUUUGCUAACAAGACGCUGCAACUGUGCUCUAAUAUUAUGGCCUGUAAGUGGUUUGUGAGUACAUUUCUUAGCCAGUAUUAUGACACAUGAGUUGGAUUUGUCAUGUGAUUUGUCAUAAUGCUAUAAUAGAAGAAGGUAGUAUGCGGUGGGACUGCCAGGCUAGGCCCCAUCCGGAUUGAAAAAAUGAAGAUCCAGUGAUGAAAAUGUGAAAGGAAAUCCUCAAGUUGAUCGCUCACUGACACGUGUUCAAGGCCUGGUGUGUUCAAUGACUGUGGUGAAAGGCUGGCCUCGGUGUGAAUGGAUCCUUAUGGAUAACAGUGUGGGUUUGGACCCAUAAUCCUUGAUGUGGACAUGGGUGUGCCAGUGUGACACCAUGACUCAUACAAGCCUCUGCAUAUUUUUUUAUACCCUCUGUGAUUAAAUAUGUCCAAUAAAGUACAACAAUUGUA